Molecule: small nucleolar RNA, 71 nt
Organism: Rhopalosiphum padi (bird cherry-oat aphid)
Lineage: Eukaryota; Metazoa; Arthropoda; Insecta; Hemiptera; Aphididae
Source: RefSeq, a predicted model, not a curated record
UUGCUAUGAUGAAUUAUAUAAUUAUUGAUAUUUAUGAGAAUUUAAUUCAUGAGCUUUUAACACUGAGCAAU